This 503-nucleotide ribosomal RNA is filed under the name uncultured bacterium. RNAcentral describes it as "bacterial SSU rRNA". It matches the Rfam family "Bacterial small subunit ribosomal RNA", at positions 30 to 526 of the family's 1533-position model. The record is from RNAcentral.
AUUGAACGCUGGCGGCAGGCCUAACACAUGCAAGUCGAGCGGAUGAGAGGAGCUUGCUCCUCGAUUCAGCGGCGGACGGGUGAGUAAUGCCUAGGAAUCUGCCUAGUAGUGGGGGACAACGUUUCGAAAGGAACGCUAAUACCGCAUACGUCCUACGGGAGAAAGUGGGGGAUCUUCGGACCUCACGCUAUUAGAUGAGCCUAGGUCGGAUUAGCUAGUUGGUAGGGUAAAGGCCUACCAAGGCGACGAUCCGUAACUGGUCUGAGAGGAUGAUCAGUCACACUGGAACUGAGACACGGUCCAGACUCCUACGGGAGGCAGCAGUGGGGAAUAUUGGACAAUGGGCGAAAGCCUGAUCCAGCCAUGCCGCGUGUGUGAAGAAGGCCCUCGGGUCGUAAAGCACUUUAAGUUGGGAGGAAGGGCUUACAGCGAAUACCUGUGAGUUUUGACGUUACCGACAGAAUAAGCACCGGCUAACUUCGUGCCAGCCGCCGCCGUAACAC